GCCACAUUGUCUACUCUCUCCUUCCUUUACUGAAGCAGAAGAUAUGCAGGUACAAUCUCUCUCUCUCUCUCUCUCUCUCUCUCUCUCUCUCUCACACACACACACACACACACACACACACACAGUGGCAGAAAGAAACAGGAACUAUCACCUACAACCACUCAAGAGCAAUCACCAGUCAGAUAAGUAAGUGUAUGAGUAAGGAGGGAAGAAUAUUUCUGAACAUGCUCUGUUGCAACCAAAUGAACACUGGAUUAGAUUAUUGGAGGUGAAAGCCACCAGCAUGCAAAGUCUAGGAGUUUUGCUGCAUGUGCUGUAAAUAAAUAAGUAGUAGUAGUAGUCGUAGUAAUAAUAAUAAUAAUAAUUUAUACCCCGCCCAUCUGGCUGGGUUUCCCCAGCCACUCUGGGCGGCUUCCAGCAAAAUAUUAAAAUACAGUAAUUCAUCAAAUAUUAAAAGCUUCCCUAAACAGGGUUGCCUUCAGAUGUCUUCUAAAAGUCAGUUAGUUGUUUAUUUCUUUGACAUCUGGUGGGAGGACGUUCCACAGGGCGGGCACCACCACCGAGAAGGCCCUCUGCCUGGUUCCCUGUAACUUUGCUUCUCGCAGUGAGAGAACCGCCAGAAGGCCCUCUGAGCUAGACCUCACUGUCCGGGCAGAACGAUGGGGGUGGAGACGCUCCUUCAGGUAUACUGGGCCGAGGCCAUUUAGGGCUUUAAAGGUCAGCACCAACACUUUGAAUUGUGCCCAGAAACGUACUGAGAGCAAAUUUUAGGUCUUUCAGGACUGGUGUUAUGUGGUCUCGGCAAGCACACCCAGUCACCAGUCUAGCUGCCACAUUCUGGAUUAGUUGUAGUUUCUGGGUCACCUUCAAAGGUAGCCCCACGUAGAGCGCAUUGCAGUAGUCCAAGCGGGAGAUAACCAGAGCAAGCACCGCUCUGGCAAGACAGUCCACAGGCAGGUAAGGUCUCAGCCUGCAUACCAGAUGGAGCUGCGCUAGCUCUUGCAGAAACACUUGAAUGCCUUUGGAUGUAGUUUCACUUUUCCAAUCCAGUGCUAUAGCACAAGGUAUAAAACAACCCCUCAGAAGAUGACUUCUGCAUGCAGAAGAAUACCUUUUGAUCCAACCCACGAAAUGGUUUUUGAAUAGCUGCACGGGGAUGUAUAACAAAGUUUUUGUUUGUGGAGAAUGGAAAGACUGGGCUCCAGUCAGAAAGGGGGCUGCUUGAUUCAUUUUCCAUAAUGGCCAACUGGACGUAAAUGCUCAAUCUCAGCCACAUAUUAAUCUCAAUUUAUUGCACUUGGGUAGCCUGUCUGUGUGAUGGAAAUGGCAGACCCAAAGGAGAAAACAACUUAAAGAAAAAGAGAAAACUCAUCUGUGCUUUAUAACAGAGGAAAUGGUGACAUUACACAAAGUACAUUUGUUUACUAGUGGUGGUCAGGGAUUGAGGAGCCAUCUUCAUUUAUUUGUUAAUAAUCCACUCAACGGGCCUCUAAUGGCCUGUACAGCCUAUGUCUGGAAACUUAGUUUGACCAGACUAGAACUCGCAGCUGAAUUAGGCCAAAUAAUGUAGGAAAAUUAUUGGGGAAGCCAAAAAUAAUACAAAAGAACAUUACUCAAGACAAACACAGAAGUUCUCUUGAACAAGAGUUCUUCCCAUAAUAGAACUUUACAUAUUAUUAGUGGACCUCCACUCUUCAGUAUCACUUAGUAACGGGGUAAAUUAAAGGACAUCUCCAUUAUUUAUUGUGUGGGGUUAAUUGUGAGAUAGAUAAAAUAUAUCACACACACAAAAGUAUGGUCUUAAAGAAUACAUUAUAAUAAAGUAGCAAUUGCAUAUUAUAUUUAAACAUUGACACACACUUGUCUGUGAAAGCUUCCUUGGAAAACGUUUUCCCCCUUUUAUGAAUAAACUGAGCGAGCUGUGAAAUCAGUGGUCAUUUCAAAUAUAUCCCUUUCAUCAAAGAUUAGAGAUCUCGGAGGGAAGUUCAAUAAUCCUUUCAAAGAAUUGCAGGACAGUGUUGAAGGUGUGAAAAACGACCACUCAUGGCAAUGUCAUAAAACAAACCUGCACCAGCCAAUAACAUAUUUAUCCUCAAAAUCACAUUUGAGGGUUGCUUUAUUUCUGGUAAACUUAAUGGAUAUAGAACUUCUAUGAAACUGGGGAAUAAAACACUUGGGCCAUUAGUAAUAAUAAUAAUAAUAAUAAUAAUAAUAAUAAUAAUAAUAAUUUUUAUUUAUACCCCGCCCUCCCCAGCCAAGGCUGGGCUCAGGGCGGCUAACAAGCAAUAAUAAAAACAAGUUGAAUGAAUACAACUUAAAAACAAAAUUAAAAUACAACAUUAAAAUAUUUAAAUGUAGCCUCAUCGCAGGAGGAGAAAGGAAAAGAAAAAAGAAAGAGGGGGAGGGAAUCAAAUUGGCUCCAAGCCAAAGGCCAGGUGGAACAACUCUGUCUUACAGGCCCUGCGGAAAGAAAUCAGAUCCUGCAGGGCCCUGGUCUCAUGAGACAGAGCAUUCCACCAGGUCGGAGCCAUCACUGAAAAAGCCCUGUCCUGGUGGAAGAUAAUCUGGCUUCCUUAGGACCCGGGACCUUUAAGCUAUUCAUGGACCUUAAGGUCCUCUUCGGGACAUACUAGGAGAGGCAGUCCCAUACGUAUGAGGGUCCUAGGCUGCAUAGGGCCACCAGGCUGGAGCCAGUGUUGAAAAGGCCCUGGCUCUGGUUGAAGCUAAUCUAACUUCCUUAGGGCCCAGGACCUCUAGGGUGUUGCUAUUUAUGGACCUUGAGGCUCUCCGUGGGGCAUACCAGGAGAGGUGGUCCCGUAGGUACGAGGGUGCUAGGCUGUGAAGGGCUUUAAAGGUCAAAACCAGCACCUUAAAUCUGACCCUGUAACCACCGGGAGCCAGUGCAGCUGGUAGAGCACUGGGUGAAUAUGCUCCCAUGGCAAGGACCCCUCGCUGCAGCAUUCUGCGCCCACUGGAGUUUCUGGGACAGCUUCAAGGGCAGCCCUGCAUAGAGCGAAUUACAGUAGUCAAGCCUGUACAGUAGUAGAAAUAUUCCAGAUAUUGUCCAGGAUACAAAGAGCUGUAAGUGUGUCCUGUGGGCCAGGCAUACGACCUAUGAGUUUUUUCUCUUUCUUUUUGAUGAGUAGAUGCCCAUGCCCAAUCACAAGCAGUUGCUGUAUGUCCUGUGCACUUCAGAAAACAAUUUGGCCAUACAGUAUAAUAUAUGCUUUUAAGAUAAAGAAAAAUGGGGCCGAAGGUAAACGAAAUGGAGUAUCUGGAAGAAAGGAAUGGCUGAUUAGCUCUGAAUAACAACAACAACAACAACAAACUUUUAUUUGUAUCCCAUCCUCCCCGGCCAAGACCAAGCUCAGGGCAUCUAACAUCAAAUAGGAGCAUUCCUAUUAUAAGGUGAAGAUUCACCAAAACAGCAUGAUCAUCUGUAAAAGCCCGUUGCAUUGGAUUCAUUACUAAAUCACAGGCAGGAUAAAACAUUGGAUCCUUGAGAGAUGAUCGGUCAGUUUCCAUGUGAAUACAAAAGUCCUUCUCUCACUUAUCCCAAAUAUACAUAUAACAAUAUCAUCAGAUCACAACAGUUUACCAAUCUGAACCAUCCCAUUAUGAUUCAACAGAUUUCAGGUGUUAUUAGGAGCCAUAUACAUUACAUGAAGCAAAUGGAAGCCAUUUACCUCUCUGGAAAUUCUUUGCAGUUGAGUGAAUUCAUUCAUGAAGAUGAAGAAGAAGAGGAGGAGGAGGUGGAGGAGUUUGGACUUGAUACCCGCCUUUCACUCCCCUUAAGGAGUCUCAAAGCGGCUAACAAUCUCCUUUCCCUUCCUCCCCCACAACAAACACUCUGUGAGGUGAGUGGGGCUGAGAGACUUCAGAGAAGUGUGACUGGCCCAAGGUUAUCCAGCAGCUUCAUGUGGAGGAGCGGGGAAGCGAACCCAGUUCACCAGAUUAUGAGUCCACUGCUCUUAACCACUACACCACGCUGGCUCUCUAUGUAUGUUAAACUAUGUAUAUAAAUCACAAUAGCCUCAAAAUGGGAAGCUAUACACAAAUUGUGUUUUUUUUUCCAAAGAAGAGAAAAUGCAAGUCUUUGAGGGCUAAACCCAAAGCAAGGACAAAUGUUUCCACAUUCCUUUUCCAAAAUGUGCGGUUGCACCCACUGACUUCUCUCUGUCACUGACUAUUCAUGUUAUUCCAACAACCCAGUCCUACGCAGGUUCAGUUGUAAGUCUCGUUUUCAAUGGGCUUUACUGCCAAAUAAGCAUUCUUAGGAUUGCAGCCUUAGUCAGACAGCACAUCGCCAGACGUCUUCUGAGAUUCCUCAGUAUGAGUCCAGAAAGUCUGAUGUUAGUCUUUAUGUCACAUUACACGAAAUCUCAUACUUGCUGUCAAGGGUUGCUUGAGUUUAUAGAAAGUACAUUUUCUCGUAACAGAAAUACACUGGUUAAUGUAAGUGCUUUGAUUUAUAAUCUUGCAACAUUCUGUAAAAUGUUCAUGAAUUAGACAUACCGGAAAUCUUAUUCCUUGACUUAAUCAGAAGUUACUCAAACACACACACAGUUCUAGUUGAGCAAUAUCUGUCUGUGGGGGGAAAGCAGCUCCUUAAUUUGAGAAUCUCUUCUUUAAUGUUUCGGUUUCAUUCAUUCAAUAAAAGCCAAGGUUUUUAAAGGGUCUUCCUGAUGCCAUGAGGUCUAGACAACCUUCUCACAUCUAUGCAUAAUUCCAGGAAAGCAACAGGAUAGGGGGUUUCACUGGCCAAAAGAUUUGGUUUAGCCCACCUUAGUCCAAGGCACUUUGUAGGCUCUAACUUUUCCCCUCUUUUGACAAACGUGUAUGAAGUUUUCAGGUAUGGAAGACCCUCCAGAGAAGAUAAAGCCUGCGCAAUUACAAGCAGAUAGGUCCAGGGGCUAUUGUGCUGGGCACAUUUAAUUUUGAUUUUUUUAAAAAAGGAAAUGCCUAUACCUUUUUUACGUGUAUAGCAGAAUUGGAUUAAAUUUGCAGGCAAUGUCACUUCCUCUAACAACACAAAUACUGCCAAAUUUCUGAAGGACAGUUGCAGUCCCAACAACAGCAGCUAUCACAAUUCUUGGGGUGGAUAGAAAGGAAUCACUUGACCUCCUCUAGCAUUAUGUGGACAACUGGUCUGAAAAUUGCUAUCAGGAGAGAGGUAUCCCUGGGUGAGAAACCUGGCAAAUUGUGGGAAAAUAUGUGUGGAGUCUUUUGUGGUAGAACUUUUAAAGCUGAUUGUGGGGGGCGGUGGAGCUAAAAGUUUUCACUUUUUAGGUAAAAUAAUUAUUUCUGAUUACAAGCUUGACCUGAAAGUCACAAUGGAGUUUUCUUUCCACCCUCUCCCCACUGUGGCACCUGCUUUUUCUUCCCUGUCUCCUCACCCUAGAAUGAUUCUUUACAUUGGAAGCUCAGCGACAUUAAUUUCCCUUUCAGCAGAAGUUUGUCUGAAACAUUAUUGAAAUGUCUGGAUCAAUAAGGCACUUGAAGACUCCUUGCUUUGAUCUGUGCUAAUGAUCCCACAUCUCCUAUGGCAAACCAAAAAUUCCUCUGAGGGACCCUGCAUUCAUUCCCUCAGGAUUCAUCCCAAUCUGAUCUGCACUGUUUACUUCAGAGGUUCUAUUCACGCUGCCUCAUACAGAUCCUUUGUUGUUGUUUAGUCGUUUAGUCGUGUCUGGCUCUUCGUGACCCCAUGGACCAGAGCACGCCAGGCACUCCUGUCUUCCACUGCCUCCCACAGUUUGGUCAAACUCAUGCUGGUAGCUUCGAGAACACUGUCCAACCAUCUCGUCCUCUGUCGUCCCCUUCUCCUUGUGCCCUCCAUCUUUCCCAGCAUCAGGGUCUUUUCCAGGGAGUCUUCUCUUCUCAUGAGGUGGCCAAAGUAUUGGAGCCUCAGCUUCAGGAUCUGUCCUUCCAGUGAGCACUCAGGGCUGAUUUCCUUCAGAAUACAGAUCCUGAUUUGCCCCAAAUCCUUCCAAGGCACCCUUUUCCAGCUUUGGGUUCACUUUUUUUUCUGAAUCCAAUGCACACCCACACAACAGAAUAUAUCCUGUCCAGCUCCCCAAGUUCCCUUAAGGAAAGAUGUUUGUUUAAUAUCCUGCCUUUCCCAGAUCACAACUACAAACUGUUUUGAAGCAGUAUGUGGCAAUCCAUGUUUGCAGUGUAUACCUUUGGCUAUGUCAGUUGCUUCUCCAACACAUUCACAGAGGAAAGGACAGAAUAAAUAUUAUGAGCCCAGUCUCAAGUCUCCGAUAGCCUUCAAUACCAGACUAAGAUGUUUAUUCAGUGUGACCCAGAAAGAAGCAUGUACCACGCACACUGAAUCAUCCACACCACUUCCUGGACUACCUGAACCCAUCUUAUUUCAAUAGCUGCUGCAUUCCCACUGGGGUUUUUCGAAGGUUGGCAGCUGAAGCCCUGGAGAGAACAGGGAAGAAAGCAUUCCAUGGCCUCAUCACUUAAUUCCAGUCCCAGCCACUUUCCUUGCUGCGCCUUGAACAACUCUGGUGAAGUUCAUGAACAUUUUUCAAACCAGCUUUUGAGAGGCUCGGGAUAAUGCUAUUGGCAAAGCCAAUAGUAAGUCAAAUAAUUCAAGGUUCUGAGGGAGGAGCGGAAUUUGUUUGGACCCCCAUCUCCAAAUAAAAAUGCAAAUUAUGUGCAAGUGACCGGCGGUGUCACAGAGACUUAAUCAUAAACUGACCUUGCUGGUUGUCAGCGCUCAGCUAUAAAAACAAGCAAACCUUGAAACGUGUGUCAUGUUUCAGUGAAGAUCUUCUGAUUAAACGUUUCUUCAUUGAGUGUGCUUCCUGUGGUCAAAAUUCAAAGCAGCCUUUACCACAGUAGGGCAACGUGGUGCAACUCAUCCAAGAAGACUGCUCCUUAAACAGGCACAUGCUUUGAGCUCAUGGGGCCAUCGUAGGCUGUAGUCAAGCACUAUUUGUCAGAUCGAGAAUGCUUCACAUGUGAUAUUUCCUGUGCCUCAGGAUAGCCCAGAAAUAGCAAUAAACCCUAAUAAAUGGGUGUGCUGAUAAAUAAGAGUUAGACAGGCAGCCUGUCUACAUGGUAGACUCUCCUUAUCUAGACAAUGAACUGAAAGCAUAUGCUGCCAGAUCAUGUAUGCUCUCCCCAAAACAUGGGUGGUCCUCCAAGCUGAAACGUCACAUUUACCCCAUUCCUUCAAGAUUACAGUGUGGAUUCAUUACAGUGUGGAGUCCAGAUCUUAUACAGUAUGGUCAUUUCAAGAGGGGCUUGUCCAAGGCAUCUCUCCCAGCCAGCAUGCAGCCAACCUGCCCAAGAUGGAUCCAUCUUUCUUCUUCCUUCUUCCCAGAACACUCUGCUAAAAACUCUCCUUUUCUGUCACUUCACACCCAUGUAUCAUGCUAACCUUUGAAAUCCCCUUUGCUCACACCUCAGGGCAAGGGUGGAGGACAGUUCUCUUGCAUUGCCAAUGGUUCUGUAUUGUUUCUUCGUGGUGGCCAGGUCGUUUUGCAUAGGCUAGCCCAUAAAUUCCUCUGCAGCUUAUAUUUCUCCCUUCUGGGAUUUAGGGGGAUGGCGCUGCCAAUCAGAAGGUUGGCAGUUCUAAUCUCCGCGACGGGGUGAGCUCCCGUUGCUCGGUCCCUGCUCCUGCCAACCUAGCAGUUCGAAAGCACAUCAAAGUGCAAGUAGAUAAAUGGCAGGAAGGUAAACGGUGUUUACGUGUGCUGCUCUGGUUCACCAGAAGCAGCUUGGUCAUGCUGGCCACAUGACCCAGAAGCUGUAUGCCGGCUCCUUCGGCCAGUAAAGCGAGAUGAGCGCCGCAACCACAGAGUCGCUCAUGACUGGACCUAGUGGUCAGGGGUCCCUUUACCUUUUACCCUUCCAAAUCUAUAACAAUAUCUUGCUCAAGUUGACAUUAGGUGUUCACUCAGAAUAUUCCGUAAUGCAUUGAAACCAGCAUGGGAGGUGCUGACAUCAAAAGUUAAAAGCAGGCUAUAUUUUUCUUUUCUAUGCAUCAAUACAUGUAAUGUGAACGGGUUUCUCUCCCUCCUGCCUGCCCCUUGACAUGGUGGCCAGGCAGCUUCUCAACUCCCAGCUCCUUAUCACUUUCAAAGGUGACAAAUUACAGUUGUGUUUCCUUCCACCACGGGUUAUUUCAGACAAAAGUGGCCCGUUGGGGUAAUUGGGGUGGAAAGAGUGAUAUCUAUAACAAAAGCAAGAGAAAGUCUCAACUGUGUGCUGCUCUUGUUGGCUUAUGAAAAAUGUCGUUUAUUUCUUUAGCAGUCGUAACAACAACAGCAGCAGCAGCGCUUCUUACCACUGGAAGCACCAUAAAUAUGUCAGAGUUUGUGUGCAUGUACUGUGGUAGCUGCAUCAUAAUCUAUUCAGAGUUUCUGACUUGUUUUCCUGGUUUGUUUCAGCCGUUCCCUCUUUAGGGCCUCUUACCUCUCUAGGGCACUCCUGGAGCAGAACCACAGAGGGCUGGGAUUGCAACUCUUCCCUCACAGCCCCAGAGAUCAUAAAUCAGCUGCAAAAAAGCAACUUUUACUGAAGUGCAUGGACAUUGCUUUAAAAACAAGAAAACAAAAAAACACCCUUCUGUCUCUCCCAGUAAGGAAAAGCUGGUUGGCGGAGUUGGUGGGAGAAAAAUAGCUCUUCAAAAUAUUAUGCGUUUGUUUUAAAAUAAAGAAUAGUUUGUGCCAGGAAGCAUGUAACAGGUAAGACUUCUGUGGGAUUAAACUCCAGGGCUGUGGGUCUCACAUUUUCUACAGGGUUUCAUUCUCCAAGGGCAAAAACUACAUGUUGCAAAGCAACCCCGCUGCUCAAAAAUCUUGAUCAUUCCACUUUAAGGCUAUAGAAAUAGGGGCAACUGUGUGUCUACCUUGCCAAG
RNAcentral lists this long non-coding RNA (8878 nucleotides) under Podarcis lilfordi (Lilford's wall lizard). Lineage: Eukaryota; Metazoa; Chordata; Lepidosauria; Squamata; Lacertidae. The record is from RNAcentral.